Molecule: non-coding RNA, 108 nt
Organism: Bacteroidetes bacterium GWF2_33_38
Lineage: Bacteria; Pseudomonadati; Bacteroidota
Source: Rfam
UUGCGUUGGGUAAGUCUCAUACGACCAGCUCCUGCUGAAUCCCCCCAGGACCGGAAGGUAGCAAGGGUAGGUGGUCGUAGCGGUGCGAUAUGAGUAGCUUGCCCAUUU